GUUAACAUAGUUUAAAAAAAAUAUCAGACUGUGAAUCUGAAGAUAGGAUAUAAAUACCCUUGUUCACC
RNAcentral lists this transfer RNA (68 nucleotides) under Neodon linzhiensis. Its description in RNAcentral is "tRNA-His". It matches the Rfam family "tRNA". From Rfam's summary of the family: Transfer RNA (tRNA) molecules are approximately 80 nucleotides in length. Their secondary structure includes four short double-helical elements and three loops (D, anti-codon, and T loops). Further hydrogen bonds mediate the characteristic L-shaped molecular structure. tRNAs have two regions of fundamental functional importance: the anti-codon, which is responsible for specific mRNA codon recognition, and the 3' end, to which the tRNAs corresponding amino acid is attached (by aminoacyl-tRNA synthetases). tRNAs cope with the degeneracy of the genetic code in two manners: having more than one tRNA (with a specific anti-codon) for a particular amino acid; and 'wobble' base-pairing, i.e. permitting non-standard base-pairing at the 3rd anti-codon position. The record is from RNAcentral. Lineage: Eukaryota; Metazoa; Chordata; Mammalia; Rodentia; Cricetidae.